AUGCAAGCCCAUCAGCUGUUUUUGCACUGUGCAGCAACGCACCCAAAUAAAUUGAAAAUCGGCCCACUGGCCCUUCUGGAAACUUUAUUUUACUGGGCUGCUCUCCUGUCAAGGUUGACCCAAAAUGCAACUCGGACUUGUGCACAAAAUGUUGGAACAAUUUUGUCAUGAUCCUGUAGGCUGAUGUGUGACCAAUGUCAUUUAUUGGAGACAAAGAUUCAACAAUUUCAUCGUAAGUAAGACAGCAGUUCUAAUUGACAACCUCACCAAUUGAAAAGUUUGCUUUAUCAUUGAUAAUUGCUUGCAAUGGUUUCAAUUUUAGAUAAUCAUGCCCUUUUUUCAAUAUUCCCUCUAUUCAUUUUCCAUUCGCCCUCUCUGGCUUUUCAAAUUACAAACAACAUAAUUUUCUGUGACUUGCAUUGUGCUAGAAAUAGUCUAUUGCAAAAAAAAUGAAAAAGAAAACCAGACAAUAAACUUAAUUUGGAAACAUGCAUCAGCAAAAACUCCAUGAAAUCAUUCUCUCAGUGCUCGCAAGUCGCAAUACGAUUAGAACUGAAUUUAAAGCUUUUAUAGACCAAAUCAUGAUGUGUCUGUGCAAAUCUUGUAAGUAGCGUGUGUAUUGAUAGUGAUUGUGGUAGAUGUGGUGGCAUCAGCAAUCGAGAAGCACUUUGGGUCUGUGCAGGGAGGUCAGUCUAGUGAAAUGGACUACAUGGACUUAAAUCAGUAGACCAAUUUUCAGUUUCUAUGUCUUUCUGCGCACGAAAAAUACUUAAAACUUAUCCCUCACUACAGACUUCCUCCAUCGCUCAUACUUUUGGGGGGACGAAAUCCAGAACUUUUGAUACGACCAUAAUGUGUUCUAGUUGGUAGGUAUGAUUUAUAAUUUAAAAUCUCCUGUAAGAUUCUACAAGGAAAGUAAUGUCCAGGAAAGCCUCAUGUAGUUCUAUAAGCACUGCGUCAAGUUCAUCAACACAAUGUUGUUAGCAUCCGCUAAGUAUACAAAGGAGGGAGUUAAUGAAUAAACAAAACCGACAUCAUGCAUAAAAUUAAAUAUCGACGGUGAAACUACCAAACCACGUAUCUCGUUUGCGGCGUUUAAAAAUCUACGCUCGCAUUUUAUUUUUUUGAAGUAGACCAAAUCAAUAUCAUUCCUUGAAAUUUUCACAGAAUUUUCUCCGCAUGAAGAGGAAAAAUCACAGAAAUUUUCAAGACUGGACGUUAAGUAGCUUUUCAUUUAAAAAAUAAAGUAUGACAAGAAGUCUGCGACAUCGCAAACCGAGAUACGUGGUUUGGUAGUUUCACCGUCGAUAUGUCAUGCACCUGAGAAAAAGGGGAUCUCAGGUUAAAUGCCAAACUAUUACCUACCAUUGUCCAAAGACCCUCUGGAGUGUAAACAAAAUUCUUAACCAGAUUACAUGUAGAUUGCUUGCAACCAUAGUCAUAAAUGCAGGUUUCAGCAUAAAGUAACUUUCAUCAAUCAAUAAUCUUGGAAGAAAAGGUUUCAGGCAACCAUGAGUGAUGUCUUUAGCAUGCUUGAAAUCACAAAUUCAAAUUUUUAGCCUAAUCUUUCUAAGUUUCUCUGUUUGGGAAACACUCCAAAAAAGUUCUCGGAAACUCUAGGCACCAAAUGUCACAGCCAGUAACUAAUUUUGAAGUAAUCGGAAACUUGUUUCUUGGAUAUGCAGAUGAAAUGCAUCAGUAGGAAAAGUGUGAAUUCAAACAAGAUAAAGCAUGAUUUCUCUCCUAACAUUUCCAAAGAAAAUGGCUCUCUAGGUGGUAAGUUUGGAGAUCAACUUCUGAACAAGUGCUAAAAGCGCACUAACAACGAUCACCUUGAUGAAGAAUCGUUUUUAUUUGUGUAUUGCCAUUGAAGCGAUGUCUUCUGUUAGCUCUCAUAAUCUUUCUCAGGAAUAAAUUUUAUGCGUGUAACACUGCAAUGAAACCGGUACCAAUACACCAUCACAGUUUAGCUGUCAGCAGUCGUGAAGGAAAGUCUCUGGUUCUUGUCCAAUUCAAUUAACAACUUUAUUUUUAUUUUUGUUAACUUACGUACCAUGAAACAUUUUUUUGAGUAGUUUUCUCAGGAAUGUUCUAAUAUUCU
Molecule: long non-coding RNA, 2101 nt
Filed under: Bemisia tabaci
Lineage: Eukaryota; Metazoa; Arthropoda; Insecta; Hemiptera; Aleyrodidae
Description: lncRNA ENSSSA2NGG002808
Source: RNAcentral